Molecule: ribosomal RNA, 326 nt
Filed under: uncultured bacterium
Lineage: Bacteria
Description: bacterial SSU rRNA
Rfam family: Bacterial small subunit ribosomal RNA
Source: RNAcentral
AAUGAACGCUGGCGGCGUGGAUUAGGCAUGCAAGUCGAACGCGAAAGUAGCCGCAAGGCUGCGAGUAGAGUGGCGAAAGGGUGAGUAAUGCUUGGAUGACCUACCCUCGAGACGGGGAUAACAGUUCGAAAGGACUGCUAAUACCCGAUAGUCCGUCCCGGAUGCGUCCGGGCCGGUAAACGGUUGAUUCCGCUCGUGGAGGGGUCCAAGUCCUAUCAGCUAGUUGGUGAGGUAACGGCNCACCAAGGCUACGACGGGUAGGCGGUCUGAGAGGACGACCGCCCACAUCGGGACUGAGACACUGCCCGGACUCCUACGGGAGGCUG